GUUCAUCUCUGGUUCAGUGGUAGAAUGCUCAACUGCUACGUGAGCAACCCGGGUUCGAUUCCCGGCCAUAGCACCA
Non-coding RNA from Parelaphostrongylus tenuis, 76 nucleotides. Lineage: Eukaryota; Metazoa; Nematoda; Chromadorea; Rhabditida; Metastrongylidae. The record is from the annotation of a GenBank genome assembly.